Molecule: ribosomal RNA, 340 nt
Filed under: uncultured bacterium
Lineage: Bacteria
Description: bacterial SSU rRNA
Rfam family: Bacterial small subunit ribosomal RNA
Source: RNAcentral
AAAACAACCCUACGGGAGGCAGCGGUAGGGAAUCUUCCGCAAUGGGCGAAAGCCUGACGGAGCAACGCCGCGUGAGUGAAGAAGGUUUUCGGAUCGUAAAGCUCUGUUGCCAGGGAAGAACGCUAUGGAGAGUAACUGCUCCAUAGGUGACGGUACCUGAGAAGAAAGCCCCGGCUAACUACGUGCCAGCAGCCGCGGUAAUACGUAGGGGGCAAGCGUUGUCCGGAAUUAUUGGGCGUAAAGCGCGCGCAGGCGGCUAAUUAAGUCUGGUGUUUAAUCCCGGAGCUCAACUCCGGGUCGCACGGGAAACUGGUUGGCUUGAGUACAGAAGAGGAAAGUG